RNAcentral lists this transfer RNA (76 nucleotides) under Desulfovibrio sp. RNAcentral describes it as "tRNA-Ala". It matches the Rfam family "tRNA". From Rfam's summary of the family: Transfer RNA (tRNA) molecules are approximately 80 nucleotides in length. Their secondary structure includes four short double-helical elements and three loops (D, anti-codon, and T loops). Further hydrogen bonds mediate the characteristic L-shaped molecular structure. tRNAs have two regions of fundamental functional importance: the anti-codon, which is responsible for specific mRNA codon recognition, and the 3' end, to which the tRNAs corresponding amino acid is attached (by aminoacyl-tRNA synthetases). tRNAs cope with the degeneracy of the genetic code in two manners: having more than one tRNA (with a specific anti-codon) for a particular amino acid; and 'wobble' base-pairing, i.e. permitting non-standard base-pairing at the 3rd anti-codon position. Lineage: Bacteria; Pseudomonadati; Thermodesulfobacteriota; Desulfovibrionia; Desulfovibrionales; Desulfovibrionaceae. The record is from RNAcentral.
GGGGACGUAGCUCAGCUGGGAGAGCGCUGCCUUCGCAAGGCAGAAGUCGUGAGUUCAAGUCUCAUCGUCUCCACCA